RNAcentral lists this ribosomal RNA (410 nucleotides) under Nitrospirota bacterium. RNAcentral describes it as "partial 23S ribosomal RNA". It matches the Rfam family "Bacterial large subunit ribosomal RNA", at positions 2519 to 2925 of the family's 2925-position model. Lineage: Bacteria; Pseudomonadati; Nitrospirota. The record is from RNAcentral.
UGGCACCUCGAUGUCGGCUCAUCGCAUCCUGGGGCUGGAGCAGGUCCCAAGGGUUUGGCUGUUCGCCAAUUAAAGCGGUACGCGAGCUGGGUUCAAAACGUCGUGAGACAGUUUGGUCCCUAUCUGUUGUGGGCGCAGGAUAUUUGAGAGGAUCUGUCCUUAGUACGAGAGGACCGGGAUGGACGAACCUCUAGUGUGCCAGUUGUUCCGCCAGGGGCAAUGCUGGGUAGCUAUGUUCGGAAGGGAUAACCGCUGAAAGCAUCUAAGCGGGAAGCCCACCUCAAGAUUAGAUAUCCCGGGGAGUAAUCCCCCUGAAGACCCGUGGAAGACCACCACGUUGAUAGGCUGGAUGUGUAAGUGCAGUAAUGUAUUUAGCUAACCAGUACUAAUCGGUCGUGAGGCUUGACCAU